UUUCUUCUCAUGCAGUGGAAGUGAAUUUGAAGAGAUGUUUGUUGGUGUUGGUGCACGAAGGGUGAGGGAUCUUUUUUCUGCUGCAAAGAAGCGAUCACCUUGUAUAAUCUUCAUCGAUGAGAUCGAUGCUAUUGGAGGAAGCCGAAAUCCAAAGGACCAAAUGUAUAUGAAGAUGACUCUAAAUCAGUUGCUUGUUGAGCUAGAUGGAUUCAAGCAGAAUGAAGGUGUAAUAGUGAUUGCAGCUACGAACUUUCCAGAGUCACUAGAUAAGGCUUUGGUAAGACCUGGGCGGUUUGAUCGCCAUGUUGUUGUUCCCAAUCCAGAUGUUGAAGGAAGGAGACAGAUUUUGGAGUCCCACAUGUCGAAGGUAUGCUUUUACUUGUGGAAAAGAGUCUAUGUUAAUUUGUAGCUUCGGUUAGAUGGUCAUUGUUAGUGCUCACACUAAAUUGGUGCAAAACAUUGUAGUGUGCUUCCUUUGGGAUAUAAUUGAGUGUCCAUUGGAUACUUUGUGUAUACACUUAUGCCUAGGAUAUUCUAUUCAUAUCUAUUUUCUCAUUUAAGUUUUGUAAUAUUAAUUGCAUCAUAUUUUUGUGACAAGAUUGUGAUCUUAGUAGGAGAGUAAACCAAAUGGAGGUUAGUCCAAUUUCUAGAGUCAGACGAAGACCAAGAAAAACCUAGGGGAAAGGAUUAGGAAAAUAUAGAGAUCAAUGCUUUACCACUGGUUGAACCAGUGAACCACUAAACCAGUACCCUCACCAAUUUGAUGAUCGAUCCGGUUUUAAUAACAUUGGUGUAGAGUUUGAUUUUAAAAAAUAAUUCCACCAAUAUUAAGUUUUGUCUGCAAUUAGAGGCCCAUAUAAUUUAAUUUGUACUCAUGCCAAAUUUACUAGCUCAAUUAUAAAAAACUAGUGUGUAUAGACACUUUGUACGGCCGGUCAAUAUUGCAUGAUAUUAUGUAUUUAAUUUUUAUAUAUUUUAUUUUUUAGAAUCAGAAUGUAUUUGUUGUGUUAUGUGUACUUUAUAUUAUAUCUUUUUAUUUAUUUAUGAUAAUAUUCACUUUGAGGGAGAGAUGUGGUUAAUUAAUGUGUUGGUAGUGGUUAUUUAAGUUAUAUAUUUUUUUGUAAAAAUUAAAUAAUGUUAAAGGCAAAAGAGGAAAUGAAAAUUAUAUCAUGGUGGAAAUUACAUCAUGUUUUGGCUUUAUAUAGACUAGUGUGUACAGGCACUUCGUGCCUGCCGGUCAAUUUUACAUGGUACUACGUAUUUAAUUUUUAUAUAUUUUAUUUUUAGAAUUAUAAUGUAUUUGUUAUAAUUUUUAUGUAUUUAUGAUAAUGUUCAAUUUAAUGUGAAAGAUAUAAUUAAUUAAUGUGUUAGUGAUGUUUAUUUAUGAUUAUAUGGUCUUUUUGUAAAAAUUAAAUAAUGUGAAUGACAAAAUAUGAAAUAGAAAUUAUACCAUGGUGGAAGUUACACCAUGUUUUGCCUUUAUAUAUAGUAUAGAUAUAUAGAUAUAUAGAUAUAGAUAAAAGUGAAGAAAAAAACUAUAUAUUAAAAAAUAAAAUCAAUAUCAAUUACUAAAUUAUCACUAGUUGAUAUUUAUUAUAUAGUGUUUGCAUGAGAUCUUGAAUGAACUAUAUAUUAAAAAUGAGAGAAAUUAUAUAGAAACUUAAUAAGGAUAGGAUAAUUUUAUCAUAAUAACAUUUAAUAUUUGCUUAUAAUUAAUAACAUGGAAAUCUCCAAAUUAUCUCCCUAUUUGUUAUAAGAGAGGAUUUAUGCAAGCAAAAUUUAUGUAUCACAUAUUUUAAAAAAGAGUAUAAAAUGUAUGCACGGUGAGUAUACAGAUUUAUAUAUAUGUGCUUCAUCAUCCGAUUAUUUUUGUUGUUGAAAAUCCAAUAACUAUUAAAUAUGUAAUCCAAUGAUAAUGUAUAAAACUCAUACACGGUUGGUGUAUACAUCUUUUUCCUUUUAAAUUUUUUUUUUAAUUUAUUAUAAUUAUACACACAUAUUAUACAAUAUCCACCAAAGAAUAUAUAGGCUUGUAAUUUGACAAGGCUCUUGUAAUAUCUAAUCUUAUACAAAUUAGAGAAAGAGAAGAGAAGAAUAAGUUGAUUUGUUAAGAAGUGAGAACCUACGACACAUUCGAUCCUUCACUCUCUUGUUUUCCGAUCUUUCAUUUUCAUCAAUCACGUUUUCUCUUUCCCAACAUAAUCUGCAAAUUUAACCUAAUUUCGUCACAUGGCGUGGAUUCGUUUGAUAACUCAGGUCAGUUUUUUCUUCAAUCUAACCCCCACUCCAUCAAUUUUCAUCCUCUCUAUUUCAUUUCCAUUUUAUUAUUAUUGUUUGGAGAACCCUAAAUUUAUUUAUUUAUUUAUUUUAUUCGGGCUCAGGUUCAUAAUACUGAUGAUAGUCACAUUUAUCCAAUUUUCUAGAUUGAGUUAUUGAAAGGGUCAUUGUUUAGGUUUAGAAGAUUUUUAUUUCAUUGUUAUUGGGGAACCGUAAUUUAAUCAAUUUUUUUAUUCGUGAUCAUGUUCUUAAUGUUGACAUUUAUCCAUUUUGAUAGAUUGAGUUGUUGAAUGGGUCAUUGCUCAGGUUCAUAAUAUUGAUAUUUAUCCAAUUUGCUAGAUUGAGUUGUUGAUUGGGUCAUUGCUCAGGUUCAUAAAUUUUUUAUUUCAUUAUUAUUUGGAGAACUGUAAAGUAAUUAUUUAUUUUAUUCUGGCUCCGGUCAUAAUAUCGACAUUUGUCCAAUUUGCUAGAUUGAGUUGUUAAAUGGGUCAUUGCUAGGGUUCAUGAGAAUUUUCGUUCACUAGAGAGAGACUAGAAAGCUGGGUAGUUGGAAAAUAGGGAUGGUGUGUAUUUUCUUUUACAUUUUUAAACAUAAGUUUUCCAACCAAUGAUAGCUAGUUUCUAUCUAGUGUCAAAUAAGUUAAGCAAACUGUAUGCAUUUCAUGAUCAAUUAUGUCUUACUUUGCACGAAUGCAAUUGCCAUCUGUGAUUGUAUCUUGUAUUAGUUUUAUUCGUAAAUUAAUUUUAUAGUUUCUUUUUUCAGGUAGCAAGGAAUCAAUCAGCAUCUGGACAGGUCAAAGAUUUGUUUCUUAGAAGCUAUUUAUCAGCUAAUAAAUUUGAAGGCUGUGCAGGUAUAAAACCAUUGUUCCUGUAGUGUGCGUCAGUAGUUUAAGUAUAUAUAUUUGCUUUUCUCAUUCAUAGUAGUUUUAUAUUUUCUGACUUGUGUUACUUUGGGGUUUAUCUUUUGAAAAAAAAAUUAGCAGUAGAACUAUUUAUACAUAGAUAUUUUUCAAGUUGUAAAUGCCUGUUUCUAACUGAUGUCUAGAGUACCUGUAAAUUUUGGCCUAAAACUUUUGUCUGUUACACUUGCCUUUAAAUUUCUGUAGGAAAUAGGCUCUUGUGUGCCCAGAAGAAAUUCCAGUCCAGCUAUGUUGGCAAUCUGGCCCGUCGAGUACGUGAUGCAGAUGAAGCCAGUGAAGUUGCUCAUCUUAAAGAACUUUACCGUCGAAAUGAUCCUGAAGCUGUAAUUAGAGCUUUUGAAAGUCAGCCAUCUCUGCAUUCUAAUCAUUCUGCACUUUCUGAAUAUGUUAAAGCAUUAGUGAAAGUUGAUAGGCUGGAUGAAAGUCAACUGCUGAAGACUUUACGGAAAGGUGACUGUUUGGCUCUAUAACUGCUCUCCUUUUAUUUUGACUAUAUUUGCAAUUUUGCAUAUGUAUUUACUUUGCCUUGUCUAAUACUCUGCCUAAUGUUUCUUGUCAAUAUUGCUUUUCUUAUAGAAUGAAGAUUUUCCUCAAGCAAGCAAUUAAAUUUGGUUUUCUUCCUUCUACCUCUUCUGGCUCUGAGUUUUGCUUUUGAGUGUGUGCUGAUUUGCAGAUAUUUAGAUUAAUGUUCCAUAAUGGUGUGGACAUGGCCGAAUUGCCCCUGCCAGCAUUCACAACAAAUAUGGCCCAAUUCCUAAAAUCAAAUAUGGCUUGGGUUCGUGUGGCCCAAUUCCUAAAAUCAAAAUUAGGGCUUUUCCUAGCAAUAUUAUCAAUGAAAAAAGGGGGAGGAGAUAAUAAGACUGACCCCCCUUUUCUUUCAUAUCGUUUUCUCAAUUAUUUUUCCUAUCCCUCCUCCUUUUCUUUAUUUGUUUCAAAUUUGGUUGCCGCAUUAGUUUCAGAUCUGCGUUUAUAUAUAAACAUAAAUUUAUAAUAUUUUUUGUGAAAUGAUGUCAUACUUAUCAUUCAGUCAUGAUCAUUUCUCACUCUGCUAAACUGCGUAGGACAUCACUAACCCUCACUCUUUCAGAUUCAGCUUUGUAUUAUAGCUGAUUUCACGAUUCGUCUUUCGUCAUUGUAUAUUAUAUAUAUAUAUAUAUAUAUAUAUAUUAUUGUCAUCUGCCAUGGCGAGUAGUCGCCUUUUGCCAGCGAUUUUUGGAAAAUCAACAUGAACCGCCACCCGCCAUUGAUAGCACUGUUAGAAAUUCCUUAUCCUCUUCAGGCUAUGGUUGGGAGAGGGUUAUUAUUUGGCAUCUUUUUGGAGCUCUGCCCAUAUGUUUUUUGUGGUGUUUCUUUGGGUAUGAUUUUCAGAGGGAUUGGUAUGCUUUGUUGCAUAUUCUACAUCCUAGCAUAGUUGUUUUUCUUUCGCUUUGUUCUGUGAGGAUGUCUUAUCCUCUUCUCAUGUACUAUUCUCUUCUCUUACGGAAUUUCUUUAUUUAUCUAAAAAAGAAAAAAAUAAGCAUUUAUUUCUUAGCACACUUUAAGGACACAGUUAUAACCAAGCGGUGUCUGAUUUUUCAGGUGUUUCUAAUUCAGUGAGGGAGGAAGAGAGUAUAGGUGGCUUUUCUGCUCUUAGAAAUGCGGGAAAACCUGCAAAAGAUGCAGUGCUUGGAACUGCAAGUUUUCCAAUUCAUAUGGUGGCUGCAGAAGGUGGGAAUUUUAAAGAUCAGCUAUGGCGUACAAUUAGGUCUGUUGUAGUGGUCUUUCUCUUAAUUUCUGGUGUAGGAGCACUCAUUGAGGAUAAAGGAAUUAGUAAAGGUAUUACUAUGUCAUUGUAACUUAUAAGCUGCCCAGGUUCACUCAUUAUUCAACCUGAAUUUAUUGGGCACAUUGUUUGGUUUGUUUUUGAACUUUUAGGACUUGGUAUGAGUGAAGAAGUGCAACCCAGUGUGGAGUCCAAUACUAAAUUUAAUGAUGUAAAAGGUGUUGAUGAAGCUAAGGCAGAGCUGGAAGAAAUUGUUCACUACCUACGAGAUCCUAAGGUAGGCAUCUUGAGCACAGAUAUAUUCUCUCUUUUGCAAAGAUUUAUUCCUCUAAUGAUUGAGUGUUUAAACUUGUAUCUCCAGAGAACAAUGUCACCUUUCUAUAUCAUACUUUUGUUAGUUAUAAUCUAUAUACUUCUUUACUGAGCAUACAAGGCGCCCCUUUUCAGUACUAUUUUGGAUGACUUGUUUCCUUUGUGAUAGCGCUUUACUCGUCUUGGUGGAAAGCUCCCGAAAGGUGUUUUGCUUGUUGGCCCACCUGGCACUGGUAAAACAAUGUUGGCAAGAGCUAUUGCUGGAGAGGCAGGAGUUCCUUUCUUCUCAUGCAGUGGAAGUGAAUUUGAAGAGAUGUUUGUUGGUGUUGGUGCACGAAGGGUGAGGGAUCUUUUUUCUGCUGCAAAGAAGCGAUCACCUUGUAUAAUCUUCAUCGAUGAGAUCGAUGCUAUUGGAGGAAGCCGAAAUCCAAAGGACCAAAUGUAUAUGAAGAUGACUCUAAAUCAGUUGCUUGUUGAGCUAGAUGGAUUCAAGCAGAAUGAAG
RNAcentral lists this long non-coding RNA (5774 nucleotides) under Lupinus angustifolius (narrow-leaved blue lupine). RNAcentral's name for it is "long non-coding RNA (LANG_LNC000512)". The record is from RNAcentral. Lineage: Eukaryota; Viridiplantae; Streptophyta; Magnoliopsida; Fabales; Fabaceae.